This 492-nucleotide ribosomal RNA is filed under the name uncultured bacterium. RNAcentral describes it as "partial 16S ribosomal RNA". It matches the Rfam family "Bacterial small subunit ribosomal RNA", at positions 29 to 507 of the family's 1533-position model. The record is from RNAcentral.
AGUGAACGCUGGCGGUAGACCUAACACAUGCAAGUCGAACGGCAGCACAGUAAGAGCUUGCUCUUACGGGUGGCGAGUGGCGGACGGGUGAGGAAUACAUCGGAAUCUACUUUUUCGUGGGGGAUAACGUAGGGAGACUUACGCUAAUACCGCAUACGACCUACGGGUGAAAGCAGGGGAUCUUCGGACCUUGCGCGAUUGAAUGAGCCGAUGUCGGAUUAGCUAGUUGGCGGGGUAAAGGCCCACCAAGGCGACGAUCCGUAGCUGGUCUGAGAGGAUGAUCAGCCACACUGGAACUGAGACACGGUCCAGACUCCUACGGGAGGCAGCAGUGGGGAAUAUUGGACAAUGGGCGCAAGCCUGAUCCAGCCAUACCGCGUGGGUGAAGAAGGCCUUCGGGUUGUAAAGCCCUUUUGUUGGGAAAGAAAAGCAGCAGGUUAAUACCCCGCUGUUCUGACGGUACCCAAAGAAUAAGCACCGGCUAACUUCGUG